UGGAGUUCAAGGUAAAAAAGUUAAGCAAUAUGGAGAUUUGGAGGUUUGGGCAGGGCCUUUAAGUGGGAAAAGAGUAGCAGUUGUGCUAUGGAACAGAGGAUCAUAUAAGGCUGAUAUAACUGCUUAUUGGUCUGAUAUUGGCCUUGAUUAUUCCACUCUUGUUGAUGCAAGAGACUUGUGGGCUCAUUCAACAAAAGGAUCAGUUAAAGGACAACUAUCAGCAAGUGUUGAAUCACAUGAUUGCAGCAUGUAUGUUCUUACUCCAAAAAAAUAAGUUCAACCACAUCAAAUUAAAUGUUAAAAUUUAUGUGGAAAAAUACCACAAUGCUGGAGGAGUACUAAUACAUAAUCUAGUUAAGAGUAAGAACAAUAAAUUAAAAGGAUUUUGUUAUUAUAUCUAUGUUAUAUAGUUAAGAGACGUUUCUUUGUAUCGUAUUAAACUUAAAUAGUGAAUUUUGUGUGGGGAGAAUUUGAUAUGAG
RNAcentral lists this unclassified non-coding RNA (480 nucleotides) under Hevea brasiliensis (rubber tree). The record is from RNAcentral. Lineage: Eukaryota; Viridiplantae; Streptophyta; Magnoliopsida; Malpighiales; Euphorbiaceae.